UUACCCCAUUCCAUAUUGGUAAACUGCUAUUAGGAUUUUUACCAAUCUCCCAUGUCCCAGGAAACAAUGAUCUUCACAGAUUUGCAUGACAGGCAGGAGAGAAUGCAGCAGAAAUGGCAGAAUAUAAAACCAGCAAAGAACUCAGAUAAAUGGACACAAGAAUAGCUUGUUUUAGGGACUAAAUUUCAUCAACCAAUGCAGGGAAUUUAACCCCCAGUCAAUCUGCCAUUCAAGAAGAAUAUUACAGUGUUUAUCUUACCCAAAACACCACCACUCACCACCCAACCGGGAAUAACCAGAAAGUUUACAAGGACUUGUGUUACAGAGAAUUCUAUCUCACACUACCUUAC
This 350-nucleotide long non-coding RNA is filed under the name Olea europaea subsp. europaea. Lineage: Eukaryota; Viridiplantae; Streptophyta; Magnoliopsida; Lamiales; Oleaceae. The record is from RNAcentral.